UUCUUCACUCCUUUGAUUCUU
RNAcentral lists this non-coding RNA (21 nucleotides) under Caenorhabditis elegans. The record is from RNAcentral. Lineage: Eukaryota; Metazoa; Nematoda; Chromadorea; Rhabditida; Rhabditidae.